AACAGUGAUUUUCUCCUUGGCCCAUUAACCACACGGAAGGGAGUAUUCGCUGUGGAGUGCCUCUGUAGCUGAGGGCCCCUGGCGCGUGGUUUCAUCAGAGGCAGACAGCUGCUGUGGCCAAGGCCAUUCCAGCCUCAGGAGGGCAAGAGGAGGCCUGUUGGAUGCAUCCUGAAAACACAGGCCAUCACUGUGGGUGAGAUCUACCAGGACAGAUGCCAUUCUGCAAAGUGGCAGGAGAAACACAGAGCCAGACGUUACACUGCUUUUCAAAGAGAGUUGCCUCUGCUGCCCCAGCGAGGAUGGCGACACAAACAGCGGUGGUGUCAGCGGACAGCGGUGGUGUCAGCGGUGACCGAGGCAGGGCCGAGACUCCAGGGCCCUUCGGGUUCAAGCUGUGCCCCCUCGCGCAGUUCAGCACCUGCCAGCACUUCCAAGUGUGUGAUUGUCACGCUUGCCUGAUUACUCCUUCCUUUGGGCUCCCAUAGCAAUUUGUACAUUACUGUGGAAUUGAUCAAAUUGCUUUAUAACUAGCUGUUUAUGUGUCUUUAAUCUGUG
RNAcentral lists this long non-coding RNA (555 nucleotides) under Homo sapiens (human). Its description in RNAcentral is "HSALNT0324318". Lineage: Eukaryota; Metazoa; Chordata; Mammalia; Primates; Hominidae. The record is from RNAcentral.